RNAcentral lists this ribosomal RNA (667 nucleotides) under uncultured soil bacterium. RNAcentral's name for it is "bacterial SSU rRNA". It matches the Rfam family "Bacterial small subunit ribosomal RNA", at positions 56 to 767 of the family's 1533-position model. The record is from RNAcentral.
UGCAAGUCGAGGGGCCGUAGCAAUACGGCACCGGCAGACGGGAGAGUAACACGUGGGAACGUGCCCAUCAGUUCGGAACAACCCAGGGAAACUUGGGCUAAUACCGGAUACGCCCUUACGGGGAAAGAUUUAUCGCUGAUGGAGCGGCCCGCGUCUGAUUAGCUAGUUGGUGAGGUAACGGCUCACCAAGGCGACGAUCAGUAGCUGGUCUGAGAGGAUGAUCAGCCUCACUGGGACUGAGACACGGCCCAGACUCCUACGGGAGGCAGCAGUGGGGAAUAUUGGACAAUGGGCGCAAGCCUGAUCCAGCCAUGCCGCGUGGAUGAUGAAGGCCUUAGGGUUGUAAAAUCCUUUCGGCGGGGAAGAUAAUAACGGUACCCGCAGAAGAAGCCCCGGCUAACUUCGUGCCAGCAGCCGCGGUAAUACGAAGGGGGCUAGCGUUGCUCGGAAUCACUGGGCGUAAAGCGCACGUAGGCGGCUUUUUAAGUCAGGGGUGAAAUCCUGGAGCUCAACUCCAGAACUGCCUUUGAUACUGAGAAGCUUGAGUUCGGGAGAGGUGAGUGGAACUGCGAGUGUAGAGGUGAAAUUCGUAGAUAUUCGCAAGAACACCAGUGGCGAAGGCGGCCCACUGGCCCGAUACUGACGCUGAGGUGCGAAAGCGUGGGGA